UAAACGACUCUCGGCAACGGAUAUCUCGGCUCACGCAUCGAUGAAGAACGUAGCAAAAUGCGAUACUUGGUGUGAAUUGCAGAAUCCCGUGAACCAUCGAGUUUUUGAACGUAAGUUGCGCCCGAAGCCUUUUGGCCGAGGGCACAUCUGCCUGGGCGUCACAC
This 164-nucleotide ribosomal RNA is filed under the name Cadiscus aquaticus. RNAcentral's name for it is "5.8S ribosomal RNA". It matches the Rfam family "5.8S ribosomal RNA". Rfam says of the family: 5.8S ribosomal RNA (5.8S rRNA) is a component of the large subunit of the eukaryotic ribosome. It is transcribed by RNA polymerase I as part of the 45S precursor that also contains 18S and 28S rRNA. Functionally, it is thought that 5.8S rRNA may be involved in ribosome translocation. Lineage: Eukaryota; Viridiplantae; Streptophyta; Magnoliopsida; Asterales; Asteraceae. The record is from RNAcentral.